Non-coding RNA from Pteropus alecto (black flying fox), 119 nucleotides. The record is from Rfam. Lineage: Eukaryota; Metazoa; Chordata; Mammalia; Chiroptera; Pteropodidae.
UUCAACGGCCAUGCUACCCUAAACAAGACCAAUCCCUUCUGAUCUCGGAAGCUAAGCAGGGUUGGGCCUGGUUAGUACGUGGAUGGGAGAUCAUCUAGGAAGACCAGGUGCCGUAGGCG